UUUACGGCUGCUCAGUAACACGUAGUCAACUUACCCUAUGGACGAGGAUAAUCUCGGGAAACUGAGCAUAAUACUCGAUAGAUCAUAAUGCCUGGAACGGUUUAUGGUUGAAAUGAUUCGUCGCCAUAGGAUAGGACCGCGGCCUAUCAGCUUGUUGGUGAGGUAAUGGCCCACCAAGGCGAUUACAGGUACGGGCUCUGAGAGGAGAAGCCCGGAGAUGGGUACUGAGACAAGGACCCAGGCCCUAUGGGGCGCAGCAGGCGAGAAAACUUUGCAAUGUGCGAAAGCACGACAAGGUUAAUCCGAGUGAUUUCUGCUAAAGAAAUCUUUUGCAAGUCAUAAAACCACUAGUGAAUAAGGGGUGGGCAAGUUCUGGUGUCAGCCGCCGCGGUAAAACCAGCACCUCAAGUGGUCAGGAGGAUUAUUGGGCCUAAAGCAUCCGUAGCCGGCUCUGUAAGUUUUCGGUUAAAUCCAUGUGCUCAACGCAUGGGCUGUCGAAAAUACUGCAUAGCUAGGGAGUGGGAGAGGCAGACGGUACUCGGUAGGAAGGGGUAAAAUCCUUUGAUCUAUCGAUGACCACCUGUGGCGAAGGCGGUCUACCAGAACACGUUCGACGGUGAGGGAUGAAAGCUGGGGGAGCAAACCGGAUUAGAUACCCGGGUAGUCCCAGCUGUAAACGAUGCAGACUCGAUGAUGCAUUGGCAUAUAGCCAGUGCAGUGUCGCAGGGAAGCCGUUAAGUCUGCCGCCUGGGAAGUACGUACGCAAGUAUGAAACUUAAAGGAAUUGGCGGGGGAGCAG
Molecule: ribosomal RNA, 799 nt
Filed under: uncultured marine thaumarchaeote
Lineage: Archaea; Thermoproteati; Nitrososphaerota
Description: bacterial SSU rRNA
Rfam family: Archaeal small subunit ribosomal RNA
Source: RNAcentral